This 1383-nucleotide ribosomal RNA is filed under the name uncultured bacterium. RNAcentral's name for it is "16S ribosomal RNA". It matches the Rfam family "Bacterial small subunit ribosomal RNA". The record is from RNAcentral.
AGUUUGAUCCUGGCUCAGGAUGAACGCUGGCGGCGUGCUUAACACAUGCAAGUCGAACGAAGCACUUUAUUUGAUUUCCUUCGGGACUGAUUAUUUUGUGACUGAGUGGCGGACGGGUGAGUAACGCGUGGGUAACCUGCCUUGUACAGGGGGAUAACAGUUGGAAACGGCUGCUAAUACCGCAUAAGCGCACAGCAUCGCAUGAUGCAGUGUGAAAAACUCCGGUGGUAUAAGAUGGACCCGCGUUGGAUUAGCUAGUUGGUGAGGUAACGGCCCACCAAGUCGACGAUCGGUAGCCGGACUGAGAGGUUGAACGGCCACAUUGGGACUGAGACACGGCCCAGACUCCUACGGGAGGCAGCAGUGAGGGAUAUUGGUCAAUGGGGGAAACCCUGAACCAGCAACGCCGCGUGAGGGAUGACGGCCUUCGGGUUGUAAACCUCUGUCCUCUGUGAAGAUAAUGACGGUAGCAGAGGAGGAAGCUCCGGCUAACUACGUGCCAGCAGCCGCGGUAAUACGUAGGGAGCAAGCGUUGUCCGGAUUUACUGGGUGUAAAGGGUGCGUAGGCGGUUCGGCAAGUCAGAAGUGAAAUCCAUGGGCUUAACCCAUGAACUGCUUUUGAAACUGUCGAACUUGAGUGAAGUAGAGGUAGGCGGAAUUCCCGGUGUAGCGGUGAAAUGCGUAGAGAUCGGGAGGAACACCAGUGGCGAAGGCGGCCUACUGGGCACCAACUGACGCUGAGGCUCGAAAGUGUGGGUAGCAAACAGGAUUAGAUACCCUGGUAGUCCACACCGUAAACGAUGAUUACUAGGUGUUGGAGGAUUGACCCCUUCAGUGCCGCAGUUAACACAAUAAGUAAUCCACCUGGGGAGUACGACCGCAAGGUUGAAACUCAAAGGAAUUGACGGGGGCCCGCACAAGCAGUGGAGUAUGUGGUUUAAUUCGACGCAACGCGAAGAACCUUACCAAGUCUUGACAUCCCUUGACGAACAUAGAAAUAUGUUUUCUCUUCGGAGCAAGGAGACAGGUGGUGCAUGGUUGUCGUCAGCUCGUGUCGUGAGAUGUUGGGUUAAGUCCCGCAACGAGCGCAACCCUUACUGUCAGUUACUACGCAAGAGGACUCUGGCAGGACUGCCGUUGACAAAACGGAGGAAGGUGGGGAUGACGUCAAAUCAUCAUGCCCUUUAUGACUUGGGCUACACACGUACUACAAUGGCGUUAAACAAAGAGAAGCAAGACCGCGAGGUGGAGCAAAACUCAGAAACAACGUCCCAGUUCGGACUGCAGGCUGCAACUCGCCUGCACGAAGUCGGAAUUGCUAGUAAUCGUGGAUCAGCAUGCCACGGUGAAUACGUUCCCGGGCCUUGCACACACCGCCCGUCA